CCUACGGGAGGCAGCAGUGGGGAAUAUUGGACAAUGGGGGCAACCCUGAUCCAGCCAUGCCGCGUGUAUGAAGAAGGCCCUCGGGUUGUAAAGCACUUUCAGUGAGGAAGAACGCCUGGUGGUUAAUACCCAUCAGGAAAGACAUCACUCACAGAAGAAGCACCGGCUAACUCCGUGCCAGCAGCCGCGGUAAUACGGAGGGUGCGAGCGUUAAUCGGAAUUACUGGGCGUAAAGCGCGCGUAGGUGGCUUGAUAAGCCGGUUGUGAAAGCCCCGGGCUCAACCUGGGAACGGCAUCCGGAACUGUCAAGCUAGAGUGCAGGAGAGGAAAGUAGAAUUCCCGGUGUAGCGGUGAAAUGCGUAGAGAUCGGGAGGAAUACCAGUGGCGAAGGCGGCCUUCUGGACUGACACUGACACUGAGGUGCGAAAGCGUGGGUAGCAAACAGGAUUAGAUACCCGGGUAGUC
Molecule: ribosomal RNA, 465 nt
Filed under: Vreelandella stevensii
Lineage: Bacteria; Pseudomonadati; Pseudomonadota; Gammaproteobacteria; Oceanospirillales; Halomonadaceae
Description: partial 16S ribosomal RNA
Rfam family: Bacterial small subunit ribosomal RNA
Source: RNAcentral